UACGUAGGGGGCAAGCGUUGUCCGGAAUCAUUGGGCGUAAAGAGCGUGUAGGCGGCCAGAUAAGUCCGCUGUGAAAUCUCGAGGCUCAACUUCGAGCUGUCGGUGGAAACUGUCUGGCUAGAGUCCGGAAGAGGAGAAUGGAAUUCCUGGUGUAGCGGUGAAAUGCGCAGAUAUCAGGAAGAACACCCGUGGCGAAGGCGGGUCUCUGGGCCGUAACUGACGCUGAGGAGCGAAAGCAUGGGGAGCGAACAGG
RNAcentral lists this ribosomal RNA (253 nucleotides) under uncultured bacterium. RNAcentral's name for it is "partial 16S ribosomal RNA". It matches the Rfam family "Bacterial small subunit ribosomal RNA", at positions 524 to 776 of the family's 1533-position model. The record is from RNAcentral.